This 255-nucleotide ribosomal RNA is filed under the name uncultured bacterium. RNAcentral's name for it is "partial 16S ribosomal RNA". It matches the Rfam family "Bacterial small subunit ribosomal RNA", at positions 524 to 776 of the family's 1533-position model. The record is from RNAcentral.
GACAGAGGGUGCAAACGUUGUUCGGAUUUACUGGGCGUAAAGCGUGUGUAGGCGGCUUGGCAAGUUGGAUGUGAAAUCCCCGCGGCUCAACCGUGGACGUGCAUCCAAAAACUGCUUCGCUAGAGUCUCGGAGAGGAAGGUGGAAUGCUUGGUGUAGAGGUGAAAUUCGUAGAUAUCAAGCAGAACACCUGCGGCGAAGGCGGCCUUCUGGACGAUGACUGACGCUGAGACACGAAAGCGUGGGGAGCAAACAGG